This 346-nucleotide long non-coding RNA is filed under the name Panax ginseng (ginseng). RNAcentral's name for it is "long non-coding RNA (PGIN_LNC008073)". The record is from RNAcentral. Lineage: Eukaryota; Viridiplantae; Streptophyta; Magnoliopsida; Apiales; Araliaceae.
CUCAUUUGAAUUAAUGACAGUAUUUGAAGAGUUUGACAAAUUGCAGAAAGGUGAAAAUUGCUCGAGAAAAUCAAACCUUUGAUCAACUGAAGAACAAUUUGAGCUAUAACAACAGUUUCUGGAUUGAAAAUCAAUGGCCUUUUGGUGAAGUGAGAGAAAAUGAGAACUUAGGGUUUUUGAAGAGAGUGAGCUAUAGAGAGAAAGGACAAAUGGAGAGAAAUGACAGACCUUGAGAAUAAUGUGCCCACGAAACCCAAUAGCAGACAUCCAGAGAGCCGGUGGAUGACGUUUUCCGGCGAACGGCGGCAGCGGUGUUAACUAUAAUGUUAACAGCGCAUUGUAGUAG